This is a non-coding RNA of Triticum aestivum (bread wheat), 125 nucleotides long. Lineage: Eukaryota; Viridiplantae; Streptophyta; Magnoliopsida; Poales; Poaceae. The record is from Rfam.
CAGUUACUCCCUCCGUCCGAAAAUACUUGUCACAAAAAUGUAUAAAAAUAAAUGUAUCUAUAACUAAAAUGUGUCUAGAUGCAUCCAUUCCUCCGACAAGUAUUUCCGGACGGAGGGAGUACGAG